CCAUGUGCCACCACUCAAUGUCGCCAAUGCCACCACCCCAUGUCCCCAUGUGCCACCACCCCACGUUCCCAUGUGCCACCACCCCGUGUCCCCAGGUGCCACCACCCAAUGUCCCCACGUGCCAACACCCCAUGUGCCACCACCCCACAUCCCCACGUGCCACCACCCCCUGUCCCCAUGUGCCACCAUCCCCAUGUGCCACCACCCAAUGUCCCCAAUGCCACCACCCCAUGUGCCACCACCCCAUGUCCCCAGGUGCUACCACCCAAUGUCCCCGUGGGCCACCACCCCCAUGUCCCCAAUGCUGCCACUCCAAUGUCCCCAUGUGCCACCACCCCAAUGUCCCCAUGUGCCACCACACCAGGUGUCACCACCCCAUGUCCCCCAUGUGCCACCACCGCAUGUGCCACCACCCCAUGUCCCCAAUGCCACCACCCCAAUGUCCCCAUGUGCCACCACCCCAAUGUCCCCAUGUCCAACCACCCCACGUGCCACCACCCAAUGUCCCCAUGUGCCACCACCCCACGUCCCCAUGUGCCACCACCCAAUGUCCCCAUGUGCCCCCACCCCAUGUCCUCACGUCCCCACAUCCCCAUGUGCCACCGCCCCAAAUGCCACCACCCCAUGUGCCACCACCCAAUGUCCCCAAUGCCACCACCCCAUGUGCCACCACCCCAUGUCCCCAGGUGCUACCACCCAAUGUCCCCGUGGGCCACCACCCCCAUGUCCCCAAUGCUGCCACCCCAAUGUCCCCAUGUGCCACCACCCCAAUGUCCC
This 777-nucleotide long non-coding RNA is filed under the name Numida meleagris (helmeted guineafowl). RNAcentral describes it as "lncRNA (ENSNMEG00000001026.1)". Lineage: Eukaryota; Metazoa; Chordata; Aves; Galliformes; Numididae. The record is from RNAcentral.